Molecule: ribosomal RNA, 433 nt
Filed under: uncultured bacterium
Lineage: Bacteria
Description: partial 16S ribosomal RNA
Rfam family: Bacterial small subunit ribosomal RNA
Source: RNAcentral
AGCGAACGCUGGCGGCAGGCUUAACACAUGCAAGUCGAGCGGGCACUUCGGUGUCAGCGGCAGACGGGUGAGUAACACGUUGGAACGUACCCUUUGGUUCGGCAUAACGCUGGGAAACUCGCGCUAAUACCGGAUACGCUCUUUUGUGGAAAGGCUUGCUGCCGAAGGAUCGGCCCGCGUCUGAUUAGAUGGUUGUUGGGGUAAUGGCCUAUCACUGCUACGAUCAGUAGCUGGUCUGUGAGGCAGAUCAGAGACACUGGUACUAAGACACGGUCGAGAAUAUUACGGGAGGCAGGAGUGGGGGAUAUAGGAAAAUGGGGGGAGGGAUGAAGCAGCUAGGACGGGUGAGUGAUGAAGGCCUGAGGGUAGUAAAGCAAGUUUGUACGGGACGAUAAUGACGGUACCGGAAGAAUAAGCACCGGCUAACUUCGUG